RNAcentral lists this ribosomal RNA (254 nucleotides) under uncultured bacterium. RNAcentral describes it as "partial 16S ribosomal RNA". It matches the Rfam family "Bacterial small subunit ribosomal RNA", at positions 524 to 776 of the family's 1533-position model. The record is from RNAcentral.
UACGUAGGGUGCGAGCGUUAAUCGGAAUUACUGGGCGUAAAGCGUGCGCAGGCGGUUUUGUAAGCCAGAUGUGAAAGCCCCGGGCUUAACCUGGGAAUUGCAUUCGAGACUGCUCUGCUAGGGUGCGGAAGAGGGAAGCGGAAUUUCCGGUGUAGCGGUGAAAUGCGUAGAUAUCGGAAGGAACACCAGUGGCGAAAAGCGGCUUCCUGGUCCAGCACCGACGUCAGGCACGAAAGCGUGGGGGAGCAAACAGG